GAUGAACGCUGGCGGAAUGCUUUACACAUGCAAGUCGAACGGCAGCACGGGUGCUUGCACCUGGUGGCGAGUGGCGAACGGGUGAGUAAUGCACCGGAACGUAUCCAAUAAUGGGGGAUAACGCACCGAAAGGUGUGCUAAUACCGCAUACGCCCUGAGGGGGAAAGCGGGGGAUCGUAAGACCUCGCGUUAAUGGAGCGGCCGAUGCCGGAUUAGCUAGUUGGUGAGGUAAAGGCUCACCAAGGCGACGAUCCGUAGCUGGUCUGAGAGGACGACCAGCCACACUGGAACUGAGACACGGUCCAGACUCCUACGGGAGGCAGCAGUGGGGAAUUUUGGACAAUGGGCGCAAGCCUGAUCCAGCCAUUCCGCGUGAGUGAAGAA
Molecule: ribosomal RNA, 384 nt
Filed under: uncultured bacterium
Lineage: Bacteria
Description: bacterial SSU rRNA
Rfam family: Bacterial small subunit ribosomal RNA
Source: RNAcentral